This 473-nucleotide ribosomal RNA is filed under the name uncultured bacterium. RNAcentral's name for it is "SSU rRNA". It matches the Rfam family "Bacterial small subunit ribosomal RNA", at positions 26 to 518 of the family's 1533-position model. The record is from RNAcentral.
AGGAUAAACGCUGGCGGCGUGCAUGAGACAUGCAAGUCGAACGGACGAUCAGGGCUUGCUCUGAUCGUUAGUGGCGGACGGCUGAGUAACGCGUAGGUGACCUGCCCCGAAGUGGGGAAUAACUGCCCGAAAGGGUGGCUAAUACCGCAUGUGGUGGUGUGUUCAUCCACACCAGUAAAGCCGCAAGGCGCUUCGGGAGGGGCCUGCGUCCGAUUAGCUCGUUGGUGGGUAACGGCUCACCAAGGCGACGAUCGGUAGGUGGUCUGAGAGGACGAUCACCCAGACUGGGACUGAGACACGGCCCAGACUCCUACGGGAGGCAGCAGUCGGGAAUUUUGCGCAAUGGACGAAAGUCUGACGCAGCAACGCCGCGUGAGGGAUGAAGGCCUUCGGGUUGUAAACCUCUUUUAUCUAGGGAAGAUAAUGACGGUACCUGAUGAAUAAGUCACGGCUAACUACGUGCCAGCAGCCGC